GUGUGCGGUGCCCCCCUCCACGAUAUUACACCUCGAUCAUAUUGUAGCGGUGCUUAGGCGAAGCCCUGCAACAGGAGAACAUCAAGAUCGUCACCACGCCGUCGUGCUGACGGAACUCCCCCUCGGAGCCUCUACUGGAUUGGAGAUCGAGGGUGCGUCAUCGAGCUGUACGUGUGUCAAGAACUCGGAGGUGCCGGAGUAACGGUGCUUGGAUCGGUCGGACCGGGAGGACGUACGACUACUUCCUCUACGUUGCGUCAACGCUUCCGCUUCGGUCUACGAGGGUACGUAGACAACACUCUCCCCUCGUUGCUAUAUCAUCACCAUGUUCUUGCGUGUGCGUAGGAAUUUUUUUGAAAUUACUACGUUCCCCAACAGUGGCAUCCGAGCCUAGGUUUUAUGCGUUGAUGUGAUAUGGUCAAAACGUGAUGAGAUAUAAGUUGUUGUAUGAGAUGAUCAUGUUUUGUUGAAGUUAUCGGCGACUGGCAGAAGCUCUAUGGUUGUCUCUUUGUUGCAUAAGAUCCAAGUGCCAAAUAAUUGCUUUACUUUAUCGCUAUGCGAUAGCAAUAGUUGCAAGAGUAAUAGUUGGUGAGACGACCAUGUGAUGACACAUUGAUAUAGAUCAAGAUGAUGAAGAUCAUGGUGUCGUGCCGGUGACGAUAGAGAUCAUGACAAUACUUUGGAGAUGGAGAUCAAAGGCGCAAGAUGAUCAUGGCCAUAUCAUGUCACAUAUUUUGAUUGCAUAUGAUGUUUAUCUGUUAUACAUCUUAUUAUGUUUUGUUUGACGGUAGCAUUUUAAGAUGAUCUCUCACUAAUUAUCAAGAAGUGUUCUCCCUGAGUAUGCACCAUUGCGAAAGUUCUUCGUGCUGAGACACCACGUGAUGAUCGGGUGUGAUAGGCUCUACGUUCAAAUACAAUGGGUGCAAAACAGUUGCACACGCGGAAUACUCAGGUUAUACUUGACGAGCCUAGCAUAUACAGAUAUGGCCUCGGAACACGGAGACCGAAAGGUCGAGCGUGAAUCAUAUAGUAGAUAUGAUCAACAUAGUGAUGUUCACCAUUGAAACUACUCCAUCUCACGUGAUGAUCGGACAUGGUUUAGUUGAUUUGGAUCACGUGAUCACUUAGAGGAUUAGAGGGAUGUCUAUCUAAGUGGGAGUUCUUAAGUAAUAUGAUUAAUUGAACUUAAAUUUAUCAUGAACUUAGUCCUGGUAGUAUUUUGCAAAUUAUGUUGUAGAUCAAUAGCUCGCGUUGUUGCUUUCAUAUGUUUAUUUUGAUAUGUUCCUAGAGAAAACUGUGUUGAAAGAUGUUAGUAGCAAUGAUGCGGAUUGGAUCCGUGAUCUGAGGUUUAUCGUCAUUGCUGCACAGAAGAAUUAUGUCCUUGAUGCACCGCUAGGUGACAGACCUAUUGCAGGAGCAGAUGCAGACGUUAUGAACGUUUGGCUAGCUCAAUAUGAUGACUACUUGAUAGUUUAGUGCACCAUGCUUAACGGCUUAGAAUCGGGACUUCAAGGAUGUUUUGAACGUCAUGGACCAUAUAAGAUGUUCCAGGAAUUGAAGUUAAUAUUUCAAGCAAAUACCCGAGUUGAGAAAUAUGAAGUUUCCAACAAGUUCUAUAGCUAAAAGAUGGAGGAGAAUCGCUCAACUAGUGAGCAUGUGCUCAGAUUGUCUGGGUACUUCAAUCGCUUGAAUCAAGUGGGAGUUAAUCUUCCAGAUAAGAUAGUGAUUGACAGUGUUCUCUAGUCACCAUCACCAAGUUAGUAGAACUUCAUGAUGAACUAUAGUAUGCAAGGGAUGACGAAAAUGAUUCCCGAGCUCUUCGUGAUGUUGAAAUCGACGAAGGUAGAAAUCAAGAAAGAGCAUCAAGUGUUGAUGGUUGACAAGAUCACUAGUUUCAAGAAAAGGGAAAGAAAGGGGAACUUCAAGUAGAUUGACAAGCAAGUUGUCACUCCCACGAAGAAGCCCAAAGCUGGACCAAAGCCUGAAACUAAGUGCUUACACUGCAAAGGAAAUGGUCACUGGAAGCGGAAAUGCCCUGAAUAUUUGGUGGAUAAGAAGGAUGGCAAAGUGAACAAUGGUAUAUUUGAUAUACAGAUUAUUGAUGUGUGCCUUACUAGUGUUUAUAGUAGUCCCUGAGUAUUUGAUACUUGUUCGGUUGCUAAGAUUAGUAACUCGAAACAGGAGUUACAGAAUAAACAGAGACUAGUUGAAGGGAAAGUGACGAUGAGUGUUGGAAGUAGUUCCAAGAUUGAUAUGAUCAUCAUUGCACACUCCCUAUACUUUCGGGAUUAGUGUUAAACCUAUAUAAAUGUUAUUUGGCGUUUGCGUUAAGCAUGAAUAUGAUUUGAUCGUGUUUAUUGCAAUACGGUUAUUCAUUUAAAAUCAGAGAAUAAUUGUUGUUCUAUUUACAUGAAUAAAAUCUUCAAUGGUCAUACACCCAAUGAAAAUAGUUUGUUGGAUCUCGAUCGUAGUGAUACACAUAUUCAUAAUAUUGAGGCCAAAAGAUGCAAAGUUAAUAAUGUAGUGCAACUUAUUUGUGGCACUGCCGUUUGGGUCAUAUCGGUGUAAAGCGCAUGAAGAAACUCCAUAAAGAUGGAUUUUCGGAAUCACUUGGUUAUGAAUCAUUUGAUGCUUGCGAACCGUGCCUUUUGGGCAAGAUGACUAAAACUCCGUUCUUCGGAACAAUGGAACGAACUACCGACUUAUUGGAAAUAAUACAUACUGAUGUAUGCAGACCAAUAAGUAUGAAGGCUCGUGGCAAGUAUCAUUAUUUUCUGACCUUCACAAGAUGAUUUGAGCAGAUAUGGGUAUAUCUACUUGAUGAAACAUAAGUCUGAAAUAGUUGAAAGGUUCAAAGAAUUUCAGAGUGAAGUGGAAAAUCAUCGUAACAAGAAAAUAAAGUUUCUGCGAUCUGAUCGUGGAGACGAAUAUUUGAGUUACGAGUUUGGUCUUCAAUUAAAACAAUGUGGAAUAGUUUCACAAACUCACGCCACCUGGAACACCACAAUGUAAUGGUGUGUCCGAACGUCGUAAUCGUACUUUACUAGAUAUGGUGCGAUCUAUGAUAUCUCUUAUCAGUUUACCACUAUCGUUUUGGGGUUAUGCAUUAAAGACAGCUGCAUUCACGUUUAAUAGGGCACCAUCUAAAUCCGUUGAAACGACACCGUAUGAACUAUGGUUUAGCAGUAAACCUGAGCUGUCGUUUCUUAAAGUUUGGAGUUGUGAUGCUUAUAUGAAAAAAGGGUUUUUCAACUUGAUAAGCUCGAGCCCAAAUCGGAGAAGUGCGUCUUCAUAGAAUACCCAAAGGAAAUUGUUGGGUACACCUUCUAUCACAGAUCCAAAGGCAAAUUUGUUGCUGAUAAUAGAUCCUUUCUAGAGAAGGAGUUUCUCUCGAAAGAAGUGAGUGGGAGGAAAGUAGAACUUGAUGAGGUAACUGUACCUACUCCCUUAUUGGAAAGUAGUUCAUCACAGAAAUCAGUUCCUGUGACAAAUACACCAAUUAGUGAGGAAGCUAAUGAUAUUGAUCAUGAAACUUCAGAUCAAGUUACUACAGAACCUCGUAGGUCCUCCAGAGUAAGAUCCGCACCAGAGUGGUGUAGUAAUCAUGUUCUGGAAGUCAUGUUACUAGACCAUGAUGAACCUACGAACUAUGAGGAAUCGAUGAUGAGCCCAGAUUCCGCGAAAUGGCUCGAAGCCAUAAAAUCUGAGAUAUGAUCCAUGUAUGAGAACAAAGUAUGGACUUUGAUUAACUUGCUCGAUGAUCAGCAAGCCAUGUUAAAUGAAUGGAUCUUCAAGAGGAAGAUGGACACUGAUAGUAGUAUUACUAUCUACCAAGCUCGACUUGUUGCGAAAGGUUUUCAACAAGUUCAAGGUGUUGAAUACGAUGAGAUUUUCUCACUCGUAUCGAUGCUUAAGUCUGUCUGAAUCAUGUUAGCAAUUGCCACAUUUUAUGAAAUCUGGCAAAUGGAUGUCAAAACUGCAUUCCUUAAUGGAUUUAUUAAAGAAGAGUUGUAUAUGAUGCAACCAGAAGGUUUUGUCAAUCCUAAAGGUGCUAACAAAAUGUGCAAGCUCCAGCGAUCCAUCUAUGGACUGGUGCAAGCAUCUCGGAGUUGGAAUAUACGCCUUGAUAAGUUGAUCAAAGCAUAUAGUUUUAUAUGGACUUACGCGGAAGCCUGUAUUUACAAUAGUGGGAGCACUACAGCUUUUCUGAUUAGUAUAUGUGAGUGACAUAUUGUUGAUCAGAAAUGAUGUAGAAUUUUUCUGCAAAGCAUAAAGGAGUGUUUUAAAGGAGUUCUUUAAAAAGGAAAGACCUCAGUAAAAGCUACUUACAUAUUGAGCAUCAAGAUCUAUUGAGAUAGAUCAAGACGCUUGAUAAGAUUUUCAAUGAGUACAUACCUUGGCAAGAUUUUGAAAUAGUUCAAAAUGGAACAGUCAAAGAAAGAGUUCUUGCCUGUGUUGCAAAGGUAUGAAAUUGAGUAAGACUCAAAUCCCGACCACAGCAGAAAAUAGAAAGAGAAUGAAAAGUCAUUCCCUAUGCCUCAGUCAUAGGUUCUAUAAAGUAUGCUAUGCUAUGUACCAGACCUAUUGUAUACCUUGCUCUGUAUUUGGCAAGGGAGUACAAUAGUGAUCUAGGAGUAGAUCACUGGACAUUGGUCAAGAAUAUCCUUAAUAAGGACUAAGGAGAUGUUUCUCGAUUAUGGAGGUGAUAAAAGAGUUUAUUGUAAAAGUUACAUCAGUGCAAACUUUUACACUGAUCCAGAUGACUCUAAGUCUCAACCUGGAUACAUAUUGAAAGUGGGAGCAAUUAGCUAGAGUAGCUCCGUGCAGAGCAUUGUGGACAUAAAAUAUUUGCAAAAUACAUACGGAUCUGAAUGUGACAGACCCGCUGACUAAGCUUCUCUCACGAGCAAAACAUGAUCACACCUUAGUACUCUUUGGGUGUUAAUCACAUAGCGAUGUGAACUAGAUUAUUGACUCUAGUAAACCCUUUGGAUGUUGGUCACAUGAUGAUGUGAACUAUGGGUGUUAAUCAUAUACAGAUAUGAAUAUUGGUGUUAAAUCACAUGGCGAUGUGAACUAGAUUAUUGACUCUAGUGCAAGUGGGAGACUGAAGGAAAUAUGCCCUAGAGGCAAUAAUAAAGUUAUUAUUUAUUUCCUUAUUUCAUGAUAAAUGUUUAUUAUUCAUGCUAGAAUUGUAUUAACCGGAAACAUAAUACAUGUGUGAAUACAUAGACAAACAUAGUGUCACUAGUAUGCCUCUACUUGACUAGCUCGUUUAUCAGAGAUGGUUAUGUUUCCUAACCAUAGACAUGUGUUGUCAUUUGAUUAAAUGGGAUCACAUCAUUAGGAGAAUGAUGUGAUUGACAUGACCCAUCCCGUUAGCUUAGCACUUGAUCGUUUAGUAUUCUGCUAUUGCUUCCUUCAUGACUUAUACAUGUUCCUGUAACUAUGAGAAUUGUGUAACUCCCGUUUACCGGAGGAACACUUUGGGUAAUACCAAAUGUCUCAACGUAACUGGGUGAUUAUAAAGGUGUACUACAGGUGUUUCCGAAGGUACAUGUUGAGUUGGCAUAAUUCGAGAUUAGGAUUUGUCACUCCGAUUGCCGGAGAGGUAUCUCUGGGCCCUCUCGGUAAUACUCAUCACCUAAGCCUUGCAAGCAUGUAACUAAUGAGUUAGUUAUGAGAUGAGUAUUACGGAACGAGUGAAGAGACUUACCGGUAACGAGAUUGAACUAGGUAUUGGAUACCGACGAUCAAAUCUCGGGUAAGUAACAUACCGAUGACAAAGGGAACAACGUAUGUUGUUGUGCGAUUUGACCGAUAAAGAUCUUCGUAGAAUAUGUAGGAACCAAUAUGGGCAUCCAGGUCCCGCUAUUGGUUAUUGACCAGAGACGUGUCUCAGUCAUGUCUACAUCGUUCUUGAACCGUAGGGUCCGCACGCUUAAGGUUUCGAUGACAGUUAUAUUAUGAGUUUAUAUAUUUUGAUGUACCGAAGUUUGUUCGGAGUCCCGGAUGUGAUCACGGACAUGACGAGGAGUCUCGAAAUGGUCGAGACAUAAAGAUUGAUAUAUUGGACGAAUAUAUUUGGACACCGGAAAGGUUCCGGGAGAGUUUGGGAAAAUACCGGAGCUCCGGGAGGUUACCGGAACCCCCCGGUAAGUAUAUGGGCCUUAUUGGGCCCAAGUGGAAGGAAGGGAGAAGGAGCAAGGGAGGGGGGCGCGCCCCCCCAAGCCCAAUCCGAAUUGGGGAGGGGGGCCGACCCCCCCUUUCCUUUCUCCUUCCCCCUCUUCCUUCCUACUACUAGUACUCCUUCCUUCCCCCUCCAUAUUGGAUUAGGAAAAGGAGGGGAAACCUACCUUGGGCCGGCCACCUCCUCCCUCCCUCCUUUAUAUACGGGGGUAGGGGGGCACCCUAGAACACACAAGUUGAUCAUUGAUCGUUCCUUAGCCGUGUGCGGUGCCCCCCUCCACGAUAUUACACCUCGAUCAUAUUGUAGCGGUGCUUAGGCGAAGCCCUGCAACAGGAGAACAUCAAGAUCGUCACCACGCCGUCGUGCUGACGGAACUCCCCCUCGGAGCCUCUACUGGAUUGGAGAUCGAGGGUGCGUCAUCGAGCUGUACGUGUGUCAAGAACUCGGAGGUGCCGGAGUAACGGUGCUUGGAUCGGUCGGACCGGGAGGACGUACGACUACUUCCUCUACGUUGCGUCAACGCUUCCGCUUCGGUCUACGAGGGUACGUAGACAACACUCUCCCCUCGUUGCUAUAUCAUCACCAUGUUCUUGCGUGUG
This 6789-nucleotide long non-coding RNA is filed under the name Triticum aestivum (bread wheat). RNAcentral describes it as "long non-coding RNA (TAES_LNC009920)". The record is from RNAcentral. Lineage: Eukaryota; Viridiplantae; Streptophyta; Magnoliopsida; Poales; Poaceae.